CAAUUUGUGCAGAAAUCCCUGUCUCUAAUAUCCUCCCAGGACUGGCACUGAAUUUAUUAGCACACAGAUCGAGCGGGAGUUUUGAAUAGCAGGACAGCGAGCGGUAACAGCUUCUCUCCUUCUACAUAUGCUUAUUUGUGAUAUCUUAGAAAUAAGUAUCACCAUUUUCACAUGUAAGGGUUCUCUUUAGGGGGGGAAGGUUUUUUUUUAAUAUUUUGUUUAUAUUUACGUAAUUAAACUACAGUUUUACACUAUGAAGUGUUUUUUUGUAUCCUUUUAAGGUACACACAGACACAGUGUUAUACAGUGUUUUAAAGACGCUGGACCACAGCAGAAAAACAGAAUCAACCCUAAAAAGAUUACUCCCCAAAGACUCUUUUGGACUCUGCAACAAUUUUAAUGGUUAUAUGAAAUGAUAGCUCCAAUGGUUUUAUAUGCAGCUGAUUUUGUAAAAAAGUGAUUUUAUUCAUCAUUAUAACAUUGCAUAUAGAGGUGUCUGUAUUUCAUACUAUAUAUAUAUUGAUAACCAAUUCUGGCUUUUCAAACUAUAGCGCUUCCACUCACUUUUAUAAAUAGAAUAGAAAAAAUUAUUAAAUAUCUAGAAAACAAGGUCACAGAUCUCGAGGACAGAGGAAAAAAAAUAAAAAUCGAAGAAUCCGUGGGUUAGAAGAGUCAAUCACCCAAGACCAAUUAGGUUCAUACAUAUGCAAACUCUCUGUUAUCUCCAAUAAAAUUGGAUGUAUUUUCCUUUGAAAGAGCUCACCGAAUUGUGUUAAGAAAUUCCCGAGAGAUGCUCUGAUACGUUUUUUCAGCUAUCGUAUGAAAGAUCUAAUUCUACAAGCAACUAGAAAGAAAACUCCACUCGAAUAUGCUUAUAAAGAUCUAAAAAAAUUUCAAGAUAUGUCUUAUGCCACCAAAUUUGCAAGACAAAAAUUCAUAGAUCAGACCCAAAUUCUAAGAUCUAACUAUAUAAGAUACAGAUGGACCUUCCCUACAUAUCUACUACCAAGAAAAGCUAACUGCAUGGAAAAUCACUCUUAAAACCAUGGAAGGAAGUGUUUAAUAUGCCUCAGAACUGAAUAUUGGACUCUUCUUCUCUUCUCUCUAUGAAGAUUAUAGACAGAAUAUACUUAAAUACUUCAUUUUCAAAAGAUCUUUUUAGAGCUGCCCCAAUGAGGAAUUAGGUCCUAAGUGACUAGACCGGUUACCUGAAGUGGAAUAUAUUAGCUCCACAAGCACUUUAAGUUUGGGAUAUAAAUCUUCUUAGAUAUACAUUUUCAUAACCUUUUUAUCUCUUUGUACUUAAAAUGCAAAGUGUGUGUAAAACACAGUAAAGCAUAUAAUUUCAAAAUAUGUCAAAUUAAAUUUGGCAGAGAUUUCCGAUGAAACAAACUUAAAAUAAUCCAUGCAAACCCGGGUUUACUUUUGCAAACAGUAUUUCAUUAUAGUGGUAGUUUGCAUUUGGCAAUUGCUAUUCUUCUUCAUAUCUGACACUGGCCCAGUAUAUCCAUCUGUCAAAAUUUGUCUUUAACAGGUAUGUCUCUAAUUAGACUCUCCAACUUGCCAAAAGCUGUAAAAGGUAUAAACAGUAUAAGGUAGGUCUGUAUUUGAGAAUGCAGAAGAGUACAAACAUGGGGUAUUUACAAUAGUAGGGCACACUAGGUCAGUAAGUCAACAUAACAUAUUGUACCAGAACAGAGGUAAUUUGCAGCUAGACAACUAUUCAGCCCCAAGAGGUGACAUUGGUCCAAAAUAUUUAAGCUGUAAAAAUUACAAUGUAGGCAAUAUUUUUAUUUGAUUCUACAUUCACAUUGAAAAAAAAAAUGUGUGUCCAUGUGUAAAAAAAAAAGAAAAUACAACCAUAGUUUUGGCAGUGAUUGGCUAUAAAAUGGUUAUAAGGUAAGUGUCAAAAUAACUUACUGGGUUGUUUAAUCUCUAUAAAUGUACUUUAUUGUGGUGGGUUUAGGUUUAAUAGUGAUAGUCAACUCUCUGUCCCAGAAUACCAUAUAUUACAAACAUUUAGCUUUUUAACUAUAAUUCAUGUUUGCAUCAUCUUAUUUCAGAUUUAUACUGACCUAUUACUGUUAAAUCGAUUUGAAUCCUAUACAUGAGGUAUUCUCAAAAUCUAAAUGAAUCAAGUUUGAGGUAUUUAUCUUUAAUUGUAUGACUACUACUAGAAAUUGUUAAAGUAAACUUUUUUUAAGUAUUUGUUCAUAUGUAAAAGGACACUAAGCACCAAAAUAACUUUAUCUUAAUAAAGUGGUUUUGGUGUAUAGAUUAUACCCCUGCCUUCUCACUGCUCAACUGUCUGCCAUUUAUGAUUGAAAUAAUUUUCUUUUAUGCUGCCGUAGUCAUACCUUCCCUGGUUGAGAAUUGCUCUGUAAAUAGUCUGCAGCAGCUUCAUGUGUCUCAUUAAAUAUUAAGAUAAGAAUGUCUAAAAUAAACGCACUAUGCUAUAAUAUCUAAUUAAAAAUUAGACUUUUUUUUAUUCACAGAGGCUGUAAGUUACAUCCAGGGUAGGUGUGGCUAGGGCUGCAUAAACAGAAACAAAAGUGAUUUAACACCUAGAUGGCACAAAAUUGAGCAGUGAACCUCCAGAGGCAUGAUCUAUACACAAAACUGCUUAAUUAAGAGAGUGUUCCUUUACAUUUUAUUUUUUUACAGUCAAAAGACCCAUAUGUCAUUUAAAAAAAGUCUAAUAAAUAAGGGGCUCUAAAAAGUGUUAUGGUGGAAACAAAAUGGUACAAUUGCUUCAGUCACAAACACAAGAAUACUGGAAAUGAACUCAAUAAUUGAGAUGUUAAGUAAAUAUAAACACUUAAAAUAAACCUUGCAGGCCACUAAAAAUGACACUUCAAGCUAUGCUGCUUCAAGAAGGUGUAUAUUGCCAUCAUACCUGCCAACAACUCUGGGUUAGACGGGACAAUCUCAGCUUUAGGUUCCAGACUAGCCAUUACUGGGGUUGUUCCUGGUGUCAUUAGACAUUAUCACACUUUACAGAGAGCUCUCAGGUCAUUGAGUAGUGUGCUUUAAUAGUGCUCUGUGCAAGUGUAGCCCUGAGGGUUGGUGGCCAGAGCAGCCUUCAGUCAUCUUGUUGUGCAUGCAUACCAGGCUGACAUGCCUCCUUUUAACAUCAUGAUCUACCCGCCUAAUUGAUCCCACCCCCUAUCUCAGUGUAGGGAGGAAUGUGCCAUGGCAAUGUACACCAUGAUGAACUAAUAAUUUAUCAGCAACAGAUGGCUUUAUGUGCUACCAUGGAACCAUGCUCGUUAAUGAAACCACCAUGGGUGUCAUGUAUAAUAAUGUAUCUAUAAAUAGAUCAUAUUUUGUGUCAGUAACACUAAACAUGAUCUAUGCCGUCAUAUUCUUCUCUUUGCACCUUAAUGCUUUGUAUGAAGGUAUCUAUAUAAAUGAGAGAAAAAAUUAAAAAUGCUUGAUAAUGUAAUCUAAAGUUAUCACUUUUCACACUAUGCAGAUAACAUCAGUUACGGGUAGAGAAUUGUAGCGACAAAGUGAUCUAUAAUGCGUACCUAUGUUUAUAUAUAAAAAAAUUAACAUUAACAAUUAUUAGAUCACUUGAGGGGAGAGACAGAUACACUUUUAUAUAAAAGUCCAGGCACUUUUGUAUUAAACGUUUCUCAUGCAUUUAUACAUAACUAUCAUUCUAUAUCUUGAAUUAUCUGAGCACGAAAGACAAAAAAAAGUUAAAAAGUUCUGACAAACUUUCUGAUGCAUUAAAAGCAC
This is a non-coding RNA of Pelobates cultripes (western spadefoot toad), 3744 nucleotides long. Lineage: Eukaryota; Metazoa; Chordata; Amphibia; Anura; Pelobatidae. The record is from the annotation of a GenBank genome assembly.